GGCUUAGAGUUUGAUCAUGGCUCAGGAUGAACGCUGGCGGCGUGCCUAACACAUGCAAGUCGAACGGAGAUUAACGCUGAAUUGAUAAUUAGCUUGCUAAGAGGAUUUUCUUGUUAAUCUUAGUGGCGGACGGGUGAGUAACACGUGAGCAACCUGCCUUUCAGAGGGGGAUAACGGCUGGAAACGGUCGCUAAUACCGCAUGACAUAUUCGGAUGGCAUCGUCUGAAUAUCAAAGGAGCAAUCCGCUGAAAGAUGGGCUCGCGUCUGAUUAGAUAGUUGGUGAGGUAACGGCUCACCAAGUCGACGAUCAGUAGCCGGACUGAGAGGUUGAACGGCCACAUUGGGACUGAGAUACGGCCCAGACUCCUACGGGAGGCAGCAGUGGGGAAUAUUGCACAAUGGGGGAAACCCUGAUGCAGCAACGCCGCGUGAAGGAAGACGGUUUUCGGAUUGUAAACUUCUUUUCUUAGUGAAGAAGAAAGUGACGGUAGCUAAGGAAUAAGCAUCGGCUAACUACGUGCCAGCAGCCGCGGUAAUACGUAGGAUGCAAGCGUUAUCCGGAUUUACUGGGUGUAAAGGGAGCGCAGGCGGGACUGCAAGUUGGAUGUGAAACGCCGGGGCUCAACCCCGGAGCUGCAUCCAAAACUGUAGUUCUUGAGUGGAGUAGAGGCAAGCG
RNAcentral lists this ribosomal RNA (677 nucleotides) under uncultured organism. RNAcentral describes it as "bacterial SSU rRNA". It matches the Rfam family "Bacterial small subunit ribosomal RNA", at positions 1 to 663 of the family's 1533-position model. The record is from RNAcentral.